GCUCAAUAUUUUGUCCAUUAUUUCCUCCGCCGUUGCUUCUAUGUUUUAUUAUCCAUUAUUCUUGGCGCCUCUGCUUCAAGCUUUUUGACUUUGUUGACAUGCUUGCUUCAGGGAUUUUUAGUCUUUUUGCUCAACAUUUUGUCCAUUGUUUCCACCACCAUUGCUUCUAUGUUUUAUUAUCCAUUAUUCUUCUCGCCUCUUUUUAAAGAUUUUUCUAGGUUUUUCUACUGGAAUGGUUCCCCAAUUUCUAUGUACAAUCAAACUACAGUAUUAGCAAAUCAACAUCAGCAACAAGAUUUUCAGAGUGAGUUCUAUUGUUUCAAAUUUCAACUCCUUAUGUGCUUCUGGUGAAUAAUUAAUUUGAACGGUUGGAUAACUCUUCUUCUGCUUAAUUAUGGUUUCUUUAAGCUGAAUUCUAGAUUAUUCAGUGGGAGAGGGUCGUUCUUCAUUUUUCAUGUUUCUAUUUUAAAUCGUGGAGUUUCUUGACUUCUAUUUAUAAAUUGAUUGUUUGAAUGUUUGUUAAUUUGGGGAAAAAGAAGCAGGCUAUUUCUGCGAAUCCUUCACUUCAUUCAAUAUUUGCUCUUUAGCUAUUUCUGAAAAUUCUCCAAUCAAGUUGCAUAAGAAAUUCAUGGAUAUUUGAAAUAUUCUUCUUAAGAUGAAUAAUUUUCAUGGUGUAAUACCCCGGGAAAUUUUUCAUUGAAAUUUUGUGCGUAAACGUGUUGGGUUCUAUCUUCUAGAAUGAAUUAUAAAUUUUUCGUAUGGAAUGUCUUAGAUUAUGACCCACCAUUAUGUAGAUUAUCAAAUAAUCUUUCCAACGAUAUGUGGAUCAUCCAAAACGGACACCCGAG
RNAcentral lists this long non-coding RNA (848 nucleotides) under Capsicum annuum. Its description in RNAcentral is "long non-coding RNA (CANN_LNC011426)". Lineage: Eukaryota; Viridiplantae; Streptophyta; Magnoliopsida; Solanales; Solanaceae. The record is from RNAcentral.